RNAcentral lists this ribosomal RNA (253 nucleotides) under uncultured bacterium. RNAcentral describes it as "partial 16S ribosomal RNA". It matches the Rfam family "Bacterial small subunit ribosomal RNA", at positions 524 to 776 of the family's 1533-position model. The record is from RNAcentral.
UACGUAGGGCGCAAGCGUUGUCCGGAAUUAUUGGGCGUAAAGAGCUCGUAGGCGGCCUGUUGCGUCCGCUGUGAAAACCCGGGGCUUAACCCCGGGCUUGCAGUGGAUACGGGCAGGCUGGAGGCAGGCAGGGGAGAACGGAAUUCCCGGUGUAGCGGUGAAAUGCGCAGAUAUCGGGAGGAACACCGGUGGCGAAGGCGGUUCUCUGGGCAUUACCUGACGCUGAGGAGCGAAAGUGUGGGGAGCGAACAGG